RNAcentral lists this long non-coding RNA (206 nucleotides) under Physcomitrium patens. RNAcentral describes it as "long non-coding RNA (PPAT_LNC010588)". Lineage: Eukaryota; Viridiplantae; Streptophyta; Bryopsida; Funariales; Funariaceae. The record is from RNAcentral.
UUGGAUUAUUUUCUAUUUACAAAUCUAAUUUGCUACAAUAUUUGAAGUAAGAUCUUCUAUAUUAUAACAAAUUCUUCACUAUUUUUACCUAUUAGUCAUAUUACAUCAUGACAUCGUUCACAACAAUCUCUACUACAAUGGAGCCAGUUGCAAUUGCAAGUAUCAUAUCAUUGUCUCUCUAUCAAAUUUUUGGUACUCAAAUUACU